RNAcentral lists this long non-coding RNA (763 nucleotides) under Salmo salar (Atlantic salmon). Its description in RNAcentral is "lncRNA (ENSSSAG00000120979.1)". Lineage: Eukaryota; Metazoa; Chordata; Actinopteri; Salmoniformes; Salmonidae. The record is from RNAcentral.
GCCACAAGAACUUGUAGGGGCCAAGUUGCUUUUAUGUGAACACUACAAGGCUUCCCUCUCAUGGAGAGAAGUUCUAUAGCACUCUUCUGUAUGUAAUAUAACAUCUUUAGGUUAGAUUUGUAUUUAGCCUUUGAGGUAGGCUAUUUCUUUUGAGGACAUUUCUAUAUAUCUAUCAGUUACUGUUGCUUAGCAACUUAUUUUCUUCUCUUCUACUUUGCUAGUUCUGCAGUUUUCAUCCUCUUGGUCUUCCACUUCAACUUUCCUUUCUGCUGGACUUUUCUGUUCUGUCUCCUGCUUCAUUUUAACUGUGGGACAGGAGACAGUGAGAGGCAAGAGCAAAUCUGUCAGAAAUGCAGGUGUUGGAUGUUAACAAUACAGAGGAAAACCCCUCAGGAAGAAGCUCCAACUGAUGAAAUGCAAGACUCUACUAUGUAUUCAUAACACAAAAUAUCUCCAUAACAACCACACAGGGUUCACGUUAGGUUUAAGGGGGAGGGAGUACAGGUUAUUGAUUUUGGUUGGUAUUCAGAGUUGAGAUCCUCACGUUUAACUCUUACUUUUGUGUAAAUCAUUCAUUGACGUCAAUGGGAGACAUGCACCAUAAUUUGAAUACCAUCUCAAAAUACAUAUUAGUACUAUAUUUAAACCCCUUUAUAUUAUGUGGGAUUUUAGAUUCUUGAUGAAACAGCCUUUGCACAAUCCCUUGUACAUCCUAAUAGAAUCAAUGCUGUGAAAAUGAAAUUUGAUCAACCACAUUUGUAGC